This is a small nucleolar RNA of Rhinolophus ferrumequinum (greater horseshoe bat), 104 nucleotides long. Lineage: Eukaryota; Metazoa; Chordata; Mammalia; Chiroptera; Rhinolophidae. The record is from Ensembl.
AUCUGCCAUAAGUGUGAUGAUUGGGUGUUCACGCUCUUAUGUGAGAUGUGCCUCCCUCAAAUCUUGUUAAAAUCUUGUUACAUCUGCAUAUUACCUGUCUGAUG